AAAACAUUACCUUCCCGGACCCGAAGCUGGUGACUGCUUCUCCUAGAAUCAUGAAGCGAGAGUUCAAGCGAAGAAAUGUGUCCCAUGGAUGGCUCUAUAAAUUGGAUCCAAAUGAGCCAACUCUGCUGUUUACGAAACCUCUGGAUCCAGCCAAAUUGUCAGCUGCAGGCAUUAUACCUCCAGGUUCUCCAACACCAAAUGGCCUACCUGCUCACACAUUUAGCUUUCGUGGAAGGAUGGGGCGAGGUGGUCGUAUCGUGUUUGAUAGAUGGAAUCCACUCAGCCAUACACCCAUGGAUUGCGGUGAUACUUUAUAUGUUCCACCGAAGGCUCGACAUUCUGCACAUCAAUGACAUGAUCAGCACUUCAUGAGCUUGUUUCUCAAUCCCCUUGAAAGUUGUAUAUGUUGUAUGAUAUUUGCAUGGAUGAUGCUAAAGAUGGAAGGGGAAAUUUUGAACCAGUGAUAAUUGAAGAACCAAGUCCUGGAGAUGCACGUACCGAU
RNAcentral lists this unclassified non-coding RNA (502 nucleotides) under Hevea brasiliensis (rubber tree). Lineage: Eukaryota; Viridiplantae; Streptophyta; Magnoliopsida; Malpighiales; Euphorbiaceae. The record is from RNAcentral.